RNAcentral lists this ribosomal RNA (253 nucleotides) under uncultured bacterium. RNAcentral describes it as "partial 16S ribosomal RNA". It matches the Rfam family "Bacterial small subunit ribosomal RNA", at positions 524 to 776 of the family's 1533-position model. The record is from RNAcentral.
UACAGAGGGUGCGAGCGUUGUCCGGAAUUACUGGGCGUAAAGGGCGCGUAGGCGGGCAGGUAAGUCAGUGGUGAAAUCCUAGAGCUUAACUCUAGAACUGCCAUUGAUACUAUCUGUCUUGAAUAUUGUGGAGGUAAGCGGAAUAUGUCAUGUAGCGGUGAAAUGCUUAGAUAUGACAUAGAACACCUAUUGCGAAGGCAGCUUACUACGCAUAUAUUGACGCUGAGGCACGAAAGCGUGGGGAUCAAACAGG